This is an RNA transcript of Cercocebus atys (sooty mangabey), 1408 nucleotides long. It is a transcript of the gene named pancreatic progenitor cell differentiation and proliferation factor pseudogene, with no coding region annotated. The transcript has a single exon. The record is from RefSeq and is a predicted model, not a curated record. NCBI's taxonomy places the organism in Eukaryota, Metazoa, Chordata, Mammalia, Primates, Cercopithecidae.
AUAAGCCUAAUAAUUAUCUUGGAACAUGAACAACCAUAUUAAUAUUUAGCUAUCGUUUUUGAAAAUAUUAUGUUUAUGAAUUAAUCAUUGUGUUAAUGUUUUAGUUACAUGAGAGCAUGUAGCAGUGAUAAGGACCAAAGACCACAGAAAUUAAACUCUGGCUCCACCACUGUAGGAUGUGUGUCCUUGGAAAAAUCUCUGAACUUCUCUGUGACUCAGUUUCAUCAUUUGAAAAAUCAGAAUGAUAUUAGCAGCUACUUGAAAGUACUGUUUUGAGGAAUAAAUAAGUUAAUAUUCAUGAAGUACCUAGAAUAACGCCUGGAACAUGGUUAGCAUUAAAUACACUUGGUUUGCCUCUUCAAACCUAACAUUUAUUUCAACAGUAGUUAGACUCAGUUCACCUUAAAAAUUCAAUCCAAUCCCUUUCCUUUAAGUGCUAUAGUUGCCUUUGGCUAUUACUACUAAAAAGCUCCUCUAAGAAUUAGUCAGACAUUGGAGAAAGCAAAAGUAAGAUUUUAAUUUGUAACUUCACAUGAGUGCUAAUCUAGAAGUACCAAAAAUCUCCAUCAAAGUUUAAUGAAAGAAACAGAGUGCUCUAUUUCUAAACAAACUAAUGAGGUCACCGCUAACUUUUCUUUUAAAAAUUGUUAAACACAACUAUCAUUAAAUCAAUGUUGUGUUGAACAAACAAAACUCUUCCAACCAAUACUGCCAUGAACAAAUACUUACAUCUAGAAAAAUACAAAGUCUUUACAUUACCUCUCUCUCAUAUGCACUUUUAAAAACAUACUUCAGGAGGUCCCACCAGCCAGCAAGCCAGAGCAUGGCGGCCAUCCCCUCCAGCGGCUCGCUCCUGGCCACCUACGACUACUACCGGCGCCGCCUGGAUUCCACUUUCAGCAACAGCUCCUGCGGCAGUAUCGAGUGCCCCGGGGAAGCCAUUCCCCACCCCCCAGGUCUCCCCAAGGCUGACCCGGGUCACUGGUGGGCCAGCUUGUUUUUCGGGAAGUCCACCCUCCCGUUCAUGGCCACGGUGUUGGAGUCCGCAGAGCACCCGGAACCCCCGCCCCCGGGCCCCCAGGCCUCCAGCAGCAUGACCACCGGUGUUCUGGCUCGGGACGCCCCGAGUCCAGCACAGUCAGCGCUGGGCCCCGGUCCUGACCUGAGCGGUUACCACCAGCCCAGGCCUGUGGAGGCGCUAGUCCACCAGAGCACCUCCCCGCCCCCCGCCCCCUCCCUACCUCCCACUCCCCACCCUCUAGACCAGGCGGCUGCAGCAAGCAGACCUUCGCAUCAACACAGCAGACACCAAAAAGGAGUGAGGGCCCAGCUCUCUACCGCCCGGCCCCGGCACUGGCUAGCUUUCCUGGCACCUGGAACUGUGCACCUGGCACCAAGCGGAAAAUAA